AAUGCGAGAAGCAAUCCCAUAAACCGUGGCUCAGUUCAGAUCGUAGGCUGCAACUCGCCUACGUGAAGGAGGAAUCGCUAGUAAUCGCAGGUCAGCAUACUGCGGUGAAUACGUUCCCGGGCCUUGUACACACCGCCCGUCACACCAUGGAAGUUGGCCACGCCCGAAGCCGUUACUCCAACCCUUGUGGAGGAGGACGUCGAAGGUGGGGCUGAUGACUGGGGUGAAGUCGUAACAAGGUAUCCGUACCGGAAGGUGCGGAUGGAUCACCUCCUAA
RNAcentral lists this ribosomal RNA (277 nucleotides) under Synechococcus sp. A15-127. RNAcentral's name for it is "partial 16S ribosomal RNA". It matches the Rfam family "Bacterial small subunit ribosomal RNA", at positions 1258 to 1533 of the family's 1533-position model. Lineage: Bacteria; Bacillati; Cyanobacteriota; Cyanophyceae; Synechococcales; Synechococcaceae. RNAcentral also lists the same sequence under 4 other names. The record is from RNAcentral.